Molecule: microRNA precursor, 144 nt
Filed under: Gossypium hirsutum (cotton)
Lineage: Eukaryota; Viridiplantae; Streptophyta; Magnoliopsida; Malvales; Malvaceae
Description: MIR7502 microRNA precursor family
Rfam family: MIR7502 microRNA precursor family
Source: Rfam by way of RNAcentral
UUAUAAAAAUUUCAUCCAUUUAUAUAAUUAAAAAAUAGCGUGAUUGAUAAAAAAACCAGACAAUAACACGUGGUAUGCUACAUCCAUCUCAUACUAAUGUAUAAGAAAUGUUUUCAACAGUAAAAAUAGACGAAAUUUGUAACA